RNAcentral lists this long non-coding RNA (3203 nucleotides) under Sus scrofa (pig). Its description in RNAcentral is "lncRNA (ENSSSCG00025065123.1)". Lineage: Eukaryota; Metazoa; Chordata; Mammalia; Artiodactyla; Suidae. The record is from RNAcentral.
CCAAAUGCAGGACAAGUUCAGAGAAAUCAUUCUCCAAGUUCGAGUUGUGCUGAAUAGUCAUGUGGUAUUUACCUAAAUUGGUUGAAAAUAUACGUCCAUGUGAAAAUCUGCCCAUGACUGUAGCAGCUUUAUCCAUGAUUGCCAAAAAUUGGAAGCAACCAAGAAGACUUUCUGUAGGGUGGAGAGUGAGUGAGCUCUCUGGUGUCUCUUCUCUUAAGGACACUAAUCCCCAUGGAUCAGAGCCCCAUUCUUAAGACCUCCUGUAUCUGCUGAUUACUUCCUUACUCCAAAUACAGGCACACUGGGUGUUGAGGCUUCAAUAAUGGAUUUGGGGUGGGAGAGGAUACAAACAUUCAGUCCUUUAAGCUCAGCGGCCAGCCACUGACACGUAUAGAGGAGCUUUGUGCAAGCACCAAUUAUCAAAAGGCUGUGCUUUCAUCCACACCAUUAAUUUCUGAAGGCAGAAGAGAGCAUGCUACCAGAAACCAAAAGUCGUGGCCUGUGGAAAACAGCAGGGAAGUGGGAAAAGCAAAACCCUUACAAAAUCGUUUUAUGAUUUAAACAGACUGAUUUUCCUUUUGGAUAUUGCUGAUGUCUCUGCCAACUGACAUUCACUCCUAAGAUUUUACAAACACUAUUUAAUCGUCUCCAAAGACAUAAAUAAGAUGAUGAUGAAAGUGUCUUACAAGAUUAACAUCUCCAGUAUCACAGCUUUAAAGAAGUAGGACUGGAAUCUGAAACCAUAACUGCCUGAUCCAAAACUUAUAAAUAUUCAUAUAGAGCUGACUACUGGUGAGGCUAAAGCAUCUGAGGAGACAAAGGGAGGGCUUAUAGAAGGAGACCUUCGGAAUUCCUGCCAUGGCACAGUGGGUUAAGAAUCCAACCACAGUGGCUUGGUUACUUUUAAUCCUAGCCCAGCACAGUGGGUUAAGGUAUCUGGCAUUGCUGCAGCUGUAGCAGUAGGCUACAGCUGUGGCUAGAAUACAAUCCCUGGCCCGGGUACUUCCAUAUGCCUCAGAGCCCAGAGCCCCUGUGUUUGGAGUUGGCUGGACUGUGGAGACUUUGGAAAGGUCCUGCUGCCAGGAGUUAAGCACGAAAUCUUGGAACUGAAUUUUACAGAAUUACUUCUGAACCAGUAUGGAACAUUUUAUGAACCUACACAAAGCUUCUGAUUCCUGGAACGGCCUCGCUGUGGUGAUUUUCCUGCAUGGAUCUGGAGAUACAGAGCUUGGAUGGGCAAGAAGCCUUUGCAGGUAUCAGAAAUUCAUGUAUCAAAUAUAUCUACCUGCUUGCAUCAAUUAUGCCUGUUGCAUUAAAUGUGAGUGUGGUUAUGUCUCUCAGUUUGAUUUUAUUGGGCUUUCACCAUAUUCAAUGGAAUUAAACAGGCAGCAGAAAUUGUAAAAGCUUUGAUAGAGCAGAGGUGAAGAACAGUGUUCCUUUCAACAUUAUUAUUUUGGGAGGAUUUUUCCAGGAGGGAGCUUUAUCUUCAUACGCUGAUGUUACCGCACAGCAGAAACUGAAAGGCAUUGCUGCAUUCAGUGCUGGCUUGGAUUCCAUGGGGUCCUAUCGGUGGCACUAAAAGAGAUACUUCUAUUCUCUGGGGCCAUGGAGACUACUCCCCUUAAGUUGCCCUAAGGGUUGGUUCUCUUACUGUAGAAAAGCUAAAAACAUUGGUAAAUCCAGCCAGCGUGACCUUAAAAACCCAUGAAAGCAAGAUGCAUGGUUCAUGACACCAGGGCUGAUGGAUAUAGAGCACUUCCACAAAUAAUUCCUAAAUAAUGUCUCCUUGUGGGAAAUUUAUGAUGGUUUGUAUACAUGUAUACUCUGAUCCAGAGUAUACUAGUACCGAAGUAGGUGAAAAAAGCCAGCUUCUUUUUCCCACAUGUAAUUCAGCCAAACAAAAUAAUGCAAGCAGAUUUUUCAUGACAUCAUUUACAAAUUAUUAGCAUGCUUAAUGAAAACAUUGUUCAGAUAUAAAUGAACAGUUAAGAUAUAAACAACUUCUGCAUGUUCUGGCUUAGUCUAUGGCUUUAUUCCAAGAUUACCAAGUCACCAUGCAGUAUCUGUAUUUUUAUAUAUAUUCAUAUAUUUUUAAUAAUUGUCAUACAUAGUAAGAAUAAGGUGGGAUUACAUUAUUGCUAAUAGUAGAGAUAAUGCUUUUAAGGGUUAAUAAAGAGGAAUAUUGCUUUCUUCAAAAAAAAAUGUGAUGUACAGAGAGCUCUAGGCAUUCUGUAGGGUCCCCUAGAGGAUGAGACUUUGGCAUAAACUUUUGCUUAAAGAAUAAAAUAAAGAUACAUCUCUUUAAAACAUUCUAAUGAAAUGAUUCAUUUACCCAUUUCACCUAUUACUAUAAUACUUAAAAACCAAUAACUUAUAGCUUGGUUCAUCAAAGAUUCCUUCAAGCCAGGUAAAGCCAAGAUAUGUCACCCCAAAAUAUGUAUUUUUGAAGACCAGAGGAAUCUGCAAACAAACCUCAUUCCAUUAGUUUCUUCCCAUGUAUUUAUCUUCCUACAGUUUGCUGUCCUUGGAAGCCAAAAACUGCUCUCCUUUGUCCUGUCAUUUCUUUACAAACAUUUUGUCCUUUAUUGAAGAUACUAUAUAAGACCUCAGUUCUAAGCUGAGGCUUUGAGCCACUCUUUGUUUUGGGUUUCUCCUGCUUGAUGUGCACUGCAGGGGUUCAUAAACGCUUUUUCUCUUAAUAUGUCUUUUUUUUUUUGGCCACCCCGUGGCAGAUGGAAUUCCCCAGGGCGGGGGAUCAGAUCCAAGCUGCAGUUGCAACCUACGCUGCAGCUGUGGCAAUGCCAUAUGCUUUAACCCACUGUGCAGGGCCUGGGAUUGAAUCUGUGUCCUGGUGCUUAAAAGACACGGCCAAUCAUGUUGUGCCAUAGUGGGACUCUAAUAUGUCAUCAUCUUAGAGCCUCAGCUGACAACUGAAGAUGGGUAGAAAGUUUUGCCUCCCUCAUUCAAGUUGUAUAUCCUCCCUGCAGUAUGCAGGAAAAAGUUAACUCUCUCCGUGGCUGGCAAUUACCCUGGGACUGGCCACCCCCAAGGAUUCAGCUACCUAUUGUUGAUUCUGAACUUUUAGGGUCAGCCUCCCUGGUAGAAUGUCUCCCCUCUAAUAUGUUGAACACUGGAAUUUUUAAAUAGAACCCCAAGAUCUAGGCAUUUUAAAAACUCUCAACUAAAAAAAAAAAAAAAAAAAA